This 616-nucleotide ribosomal RNA is filed under the name Candidatus Accumulibacter propinquus. RNAcentral describes it as "bacterial SSU rRNA". It matches the Rfam family "Bacterial small subunit ribosomal RNA", at positions 1 to 646 of the family's 1533-position model. The record is from RNAcentral. Lineage: Bacteria; Pseudomonadati; Pseudomonadota; Betaproteobacteria.
AACUGGAAGAGUUUGAUCCUGGCUCAGAUUAAACGCUGGCGGCAUGCUUACACAUGCAAGUCGAACGGCAGCACGGGGCAACCGGUGUAGUGGCGAACGGGUGAGUAAAGCAUCGGAACGUGCCCUGGAGUGGGGGAUAACGUAGCGAAAGUUACGCUAAUACCGCAAUAUUCAGAGCAGGAAAGCAGGAUCGCAAGACCUUGAGGCCUGGGAGCGCCGAUGGAUUAGCUAGUUGGUGGGGUAAAGGCCACUUCGGUACACGAUCCGUAGCGGGUCUGAGAGAUGAUCCGCCACACUCGGACUGGGAGAUAUGGCCCAGACUCCUACGUGAGGCAGCAGUGGGAAUUUUAAGCCCGAUGGCGAAGCCUGAUCCAGCCAUGCCGCGUAGUGAAGAAGGCCUUCGCUUAAAGCUCUUUCGGCCGGGAAGAAAUCGCAUGGGUCAACAACCCGUGGAUGACGGUACCGAAUAGAAGCACCGGCUAACUACGCCACAGCAGCCGCAGGUAAUACGUAGGGUGCGAGCGUUAACGAAUACACAUUGCGGAAGCGGUGCAUAGUAAGUCAGAUGAAAUCCCCGGCCUGAACCUGAACUGCAUUUGAGACUGCUAAGCUGAGU